RNAcentral lists this non-coding RNA (94 nucleotides) under uncultured Paenisporosarcina sp. RNAcentral describes it as "pan motif". It matches the Rfam family "pan motif". The record is from RNAcentral. Lineage: Bacteria; Bacillati; Bacillota; Bacilli; Caryophanales; Caryophanaceae.
GGGCAGUAUCUUUGUAGAACUGCACCUGAUGAAUACAAGAAGAUCUUUAUAAAUUUAAUAAUUCUGCCUUGAUCUUAAUCGACAGGGACGGAGG